AAUAUUUGUGAUCAAUCCUGCUAUUUAAGGACCCUUUGUAUUCCUUGUUUCUUUGUUCUGCAUUUUAUCUCUGUUUAAGAUUCCCACUGCAACCCUUCUCUUCAGGAAAAAUUAAAAUCUGCUCUUUCCUCUGUUUUCUUCUUCUUCUUCUUCUUUAAUUUCUACCUAAUUUCUCACCUUUCUUCUUUGAUUUCACUCUCCUCCUUUUAACAGGAAAAAGAAGAAGCUACCUCCUAUUCUCUUUCUCUUGAAUCCCAUUCUCUUUUCUUUUCUUUUAUUUGCCCAAAAAAGAAAAAAAAAAGCUGCUUUUACUUUGUGUUUUUGCUUCAGUUGAAGUUCCAGUAGCAGGAGCAGCAGCAGCUCAUAAACGGUGAUGAAUUGAGGUAAGUUUGGAGACAUGAAUCUCUUCAUUAUUCCGAAUAGUACUGCUUUUGUUUUGGCUAUAUAUUAAACUCAAUUCAAACAGUGUGUGUUGAUAAAAAUAUAAGGUGAAAAAGAGAUUGGUAUUCCCAACUCAUUCCUUUUUUGUUGGAUCAUUUUUUGUGUCUUACCAGUUUAAUCACAAUUUAGCUUUAAUAAAUAGAUAAAUAAUGUAUCAAAGCUUCAGUUGAGAUCCCUUCAACUAUCCAUUACAAAAUAAGAGUUAUAUGCAAAUAUGACUACGAGAUAGUAUGAAAUUAAAAAAGGGGAUAAUUGCAUAGAAGGCCCUUAUACUAAUAUUUAAAAAAAAAAGAGAUAUUUCUUCCUUAUACACUUCUUCUUCCUUUUCUCUCGCCGGGAAACUAGAAACUUAGUAAUUAUUAUAAUAAACAAAAUUAAAUGUACUAUGUUGACACCAUUUUUUUGAUGAAAACGGGGUCGACGUGGAUUUUGAAAAAAAAGAAUGAAAACGGGAGUCGCCACCAAUCCUUUUUUUGAUGAUGUGUGAUCGGGUCACCUCGAAAAGUGGUUGUUUUUAAUAAACGAUUUAAUUUUUAUUAAAACAACGAUUUUGGUCUACGAAAUUCAGAAAAAUGAGUUCGGGAGUCAGUUACGCACGAGGAAGGAUUAGCACCCUCGAUGCGCCCAAAAUUGGUACCUAGUUGAUUACUUAAUGUCUUGAUGUCGAAAAUUAAAACUCGAAAAGAAUUUAAAAAUACGAUCCCUCUUUAUGUUGUGUUAUUUUAAAAUUACUCGAAUAAAUCAAAAUGGAAAAUGCCUUCUUAUCUCGAAGUAACAAGAUGUCACAUCUAGUAAGUUAGGACACGACACCUCGUAUUUUUGAGAGUAAGCUUGCCUUUUAUUUUUUAUUUAAACCUCAUUUAUUUCAAUUUCAAAGGAUAUUCGAUUAUUUAGGAACAACGCGAGAAAAAUCGAAGCUCAGUAAGUUAGGGCACGAUUUUCUCGAAUUUUCUAAAUACGGAAUAUUGCUUUUAUUAUUGAAAGUUUAAAAGGGUAUUUGGCCAUUUGGUCGAACGAGGAAUCGAAACCCAGCACGUUAGGGCACGUUUUCUCAAACUUUCCAAACGCGAAAUAUUGCCUUAAUUUAAAACUUUACUCUUUUUGAAUAAUCGCGAGUACAAUACUCGAACGAGAUGCAUUUGUUUUAUUUAGGACAAAAUACAAUGAUUUAUUAUUGGAGUGUACAAAAUCGAGCGUAGCUUUGAAGUGAUGAAAUGAAAUUGAAUGAUAACGGAACAUGACAUAACAAUUUAUGAAUAAAAUGAGACAUCAAUGCAUGACAAAUAUACACGGAUACAAAUAAGCAAAUUAUAGUACGCACAACGACAAUGAACACACAAUAUAUCUAAUUUAAAUACCAACAUUACUAAUCAAAGGAAAAUAAAACAAAAUAAUAUAUAUAUAUAUAUAUAUAAAUAUAUAUACAACAAUCUAAAGUAAAUAGUAAUCCAAGAUGAAUGAUUUAUAAGAACAAUAAAUAAUAAAAGGUUCGAAUAAACAAUAUACAAGAAAACUUAAAAUAAAUGAAUAUAAAAAUUUUAAAAUAAAUAAUAUUAUAUAUAAAAAGUAUAAACAACUUUGAAGAAAAUGUACAUACAUACGAAAAUUUAAAAGAAAAGAAAAGAUAUAUAUAAUAGUUUACAAUAAAUAAUAAAUAAAAACUUAAACAAACAAAGAUAAAAGAGUUUUUUUUUUAUAUAACAAUAAUAAACAAAUAAAUUGAAUGGACCCAGGUCCAAAUUGAAAUUAAAACGAAAUUAAAUGACAUAAUUAAAAAUAAAAAAAAGACAGUCGGGGCCUGAUCUAAACGCGCGCAGAGAUACAGGGUCAAAAGGGAAAUAUUCCCAUGCCAUCUGAAACGGCACCGUUUCAGGGUACAUCUGCGCAUGGUCUAUGGACCAAAUUGAAGCGUAAGCAAAACUUAAGGCUGAAAUUGAAAACUAAAAGAAACUACAUUGAAUGCGCCUAAAAGAUGAAGGGACUUUUUCGGAAAUAUCCCUUUAGGGAAAACGCGCGGAUCCCCCCUGACGGGUCGGGUCGCGCACACGGAUGGCCCUAUACGGCGCCGUUUUGGAGCCACUGAAACAGGCCCUAAACGACGCCGUUUUGCAUCACUUAUAAAAAACAAAUUUUUUUGUUUUGAAACCCAUUCUGCCAUUCAAAAGAAAAAAAUAAAAAAACUCUCUCAUAUACUCUCAACUCCUCCUUUUUUAAACGCCGGUCAUGGGAUUCCGGCCGAUUGCCGCCGUGUAGCACCACCGUGCACGGUGGCCGGCAUAGCACAAAGGAGGCGUUUCGGUCUCACUUCGAAGCACCCACGAAGGUCAAACACCCUUCGCCCGAAAGCCAAUAAAAAGGACUCCCAAACCCACCUUUCAAGGCCGAUUCCGACGACGGAGAGAUCUCCGACGACGCGGCCGACGGUGUUUCAGGUGGUGUCAGACGCGCGUGGGUGGGGUGCUGGCGUGCGGCAGUGCGAGGGCGUGGCAGACGAGGGGGCAACGCAUGGAAGCUUGCGGCGGCUAACUUGGGGAAGCAAACUAGGGUUUGCUGAAAAUGGGGUUAAUCUUGGGCUAGGGUUAUGUUUGUUUUGGGUUUAGGGUUAAUUUUGGGUAGUUUGGGCCAUAUGAAAUUUGGGCUGCAAUUUAGACUUUAUUUCAUGUAUUUGGUUUAUGUUUUAUUUUUAUUUUGUUUUUGUUUUGGCACUGGGCCCGGGCAAAAUGGGCUCGUACAUACUAUAUUACUGAGAGAACAUCUAACAUCAUUGGAGGGAAAGAACAAGAAAAGAAAAAAUAAACAUAACAAAAAUAAAAUAAAAUAUUCUGCUGAA
Molecule: long non-coding RNA, 3271 nt
Organism: Gossypium raimondii (Peruvian cotton)
Lineage: Eukaryota; Viridiplantae; Streptophyta; Magnoliopsida; Malvales; Malvaceae
Exons: 2
Source: RefSeq, a predicted model, not a curated record